RNAcentral lists this ribosomal RNA (1332 nucleotides) under Triticum aestivum (bread wheat). RNAcentral describes it as "partial small subunit ribosomal RNA". The record is from RNAcentral. Lineage: Eukaryota; Viridiplantae; Streptophyta; Magnoliopsida; Poales; Poaceae.
AUGCCUUUUGGUUUAUGUAAUGCACCUGCUACCUUUCAAACAUGCAUGAUGGCUAUAUUCUCUGACUUUUGUGAAAAGAUUUGUGAGGUUUUCAUGGACGAUUUCUCCGUCUAUGGAUCUUCUUUUGAUGAUUGCUUGAGCAACCUUGAUCAAAUUUUGCAGAGAUGUGAAGAAACUAAUCUUGUCUUGAAUUGGGAAAAGUGCCACUUUAUGGUUAAUGAAGGUAUUGUCUUGGGGCAUAAAAUUUCUGAAAGAGGUAUUGAAGUUGAUAAAGCCAAGGUUGAUGCUAUUGAAAAGAUGCCAUGCCCCAAGGACAUCAAAGGUAUAAGAAGUUUCCUUGGUCACACCGGAUUUUAUAGGAGGUUCAUUAAGGACUUCUCAAAAAUUUCUCGGCCUCUAAAUAAUUUAUUACAAAAAGAUAUACCAUUUGUAUUUGAUGAUGAUUGUGUAGAAGCAUUUGAAAUACUUAAGAAAGCAUUGAUCUCUGCACCUAUUGUUCAGCCACCUGAUUGGAAUUUACCCUUUGAAAUUAUGUGUGAUGCUAGUGAUUAUGCUGUAGGUGAUGUUCGAGGGCAAAGAGUUGAUAAGAAAUUAAACGUUAUUCAAUAUGCUAGUAAAACCUUAGACAAUGCUCUAAGAAAUUAUGCUACUACUGAAAAAGAAUUCUUAGCAGUUGUAUUUGCUUGUGAUAAGUUCAGACCUUAUAUUGUUGAUUCUAAAGUAACUAUUCACAUUGAUCAUGUUGCUAUUAAAUAUCUUAUGGAAAAGAAAGAUGCUAAACCUAGACUUAUUAGAUGGGUUCUCUUGCUACAAGAAUUUGACUUAUAUAUUGUUGAUAGAAAGGGAGCUGAGAACCCCGUUGCAGACAACUUGUCUAGGUUAGAAAAUGUGCUUGAUGACCCACUUCCUAUUGAUGAUAGCUUUCCUGGUGAGCAAUUAAAUGUCAUAAAUGCUUCUCAUACUGCUCCAUGGUAUGCUGAUUAUGCUAAUUACAUUGUUGCUAAGUUUAUACCACCUAGUUUCACAUACCAGCAAAAGAAAAAGUUCUUCUAUGAUUUGAGGCAUUACUUUUGGGAUGACCCACAUCUUUAUAAAGAAGGAGUAGAUGGUGUUAUUAGACGUUGUGUACCUGAGCAUGAACAGGAACAUAUCCUACGCAAGUGUCACUCUGAAGCUUAUGGAGGACACCUGCUGGAGAUAGAACUGCACAUAAGGUAUUGCAAUCUAGUUUUUAUUGGCCUACUCUCUUCAAGGAUGCCUGUAAGUUUGUCUUAUCUUGUGAUGAAUGUCAAAGAAUUGGUAAUAUUAGUAGACGUCAAGAAAUGCCUAUGA